CAAGAUCUUCUUAUGCAUCAGUGAGCCUAAUAUUGUUUCUUAUAACACAAUGAUCAGCGGGUUUUCCUAUAACGGUUUCGGGAAGAAAGCUCUAGAGUUGUUUUCCAUAUUGGAAAGUACAGAAAAAGAGCCAAAUGGUGUUACCUUUCUUGCUGUAUUAUCUGCUUGUGUUCAUGUUGGAUACGUAGACUUAGGAUGGAAAUACUUCAAAUCAAUGAAAUUCUCGUACGGCAUUGAACCCGGACCUGAUCAUUAUGCAUGCAUGGUUGAUCUCCUUGGCAGAAGUGGAUUACUUGAUGAAGCAUAUAACUUGAUCUCUUCAAUGCCUUGUGAGCCUCAUUCCGGGGUUUGGGGCAGCUUGCUUGGUGCCAGCAAAACUUAUUUACAUGUCGAUCUAGCAGAGCUUGCUGCUAAGAAACAAAUCGAACUCGAGCCUGAUAGUGCAACACCUUAUGUGGUAUUGUCCCAGCUGUAUUCAAUUGUUGGGCAAAACGGAGACUGUGAUCGGAUAAGGAACAUCAAGAAAUCGAAAAGAAUAAAGAAGGAUCCUGGGUCUAGCUGGAUCAUCUUACAGGGCCAAGUACAUAAUUUUCUUUCAGGAGAUGAAUCUCAUCUGAAUCUUGAAGAGAUAGCUUUCACACUGAAGAUGAUUGGAAAGGAAAUGGAGUUGAUUUGUGUCAGCCAUUGAAGUUGUUUUCAGUGAAGCAACAUGCAAGCACGUUGAGUUUUACUUCAUCAAACAGAGAGCAAGAAGCUCACUUGGGUCACCUUGUAAAACCGAAUGUCUCGCAACUCCUGUCCUCCUACCACUAACCAGAAAAUGAACUUAAAGUGGUGCAAGAGGUUUUGUUCCAUCUCUGAGCCAAGCUCUGUUAUUGAGAGAGAUCAUGGAAGUUUAUGGUAUUAUUGUGGUAGCCUGCGUUUUCAUUGUUUUGAUUGGUAUAAACUUAUUAUUAUGUGAUUGGUCGGGGAAGAAGAAGAAGACUGCUAGUAAUGAGACUGCUGAAAACCCCAACAACCCUAGAAGCUGGACUGUUACAAGCAAUGGUAAUGUAGCAGCUAGAAGCGUAAAAGACAAGAAACUUAGGAUCUGCAGAACCUUUAGUAGCUUGUCGAUAAUUCUUGUUUGAACAGAGAAUUCGAACAAGAGUUUGAAAAAGUAAUUCUCUUUUAUUAAUC
Non-coding RNA from Camelina sativa (false flax), 1179 nucleotides. The record is from RefSeq and is a predicted model, not a curated record. NCBI's taxonomy places the organism in Eukaryota, Viridiplantae, Streptophyta, Magnoliopsida, Brassicales, Brassicaceae.